Long non-coding RNA from Ipomoea nil (Japanese morning glory), 582 nucleotides. RefSeq lists it as uncharacterized. The transcript is spliced from 2 exons. The record is from RefSeq and is a predicted model, not a curated record. Lineage: Eukaryota; Viridiplantae; Streptophyta; Magnoliopsida; Solanales; Convolvulaceae.
AGGUAAUUGGUACACCCCUGGUUCACAUUAGCUGUGGUCAAAGUGAACGAUCUCUGGUUAGAUCAAAUACUGGUGAGAAAAAACUACUUCAGAGAAGAGCAAAGAAAGAACACCAGUUAUGGAAGAAAAGAGAUUCUGCUGGGUCUGGGCAGAAGGCACUCAAUCUUGUUAGGAUUGUAAGUCUAUACUAUAUUGUUCCUGCUGUUAGUAGGCUAACUAAUGCGUUUAAAUAAUUAACCAUACUUUAUACAAAACAGAGUUCCUAAGUCUAUACUAGAUUGUCUAUUAAUUUCUACCUUUGAGAAGAAGAAUGCUGUUUAUGAUUCACUAGAUAAAUGGGUAGCAUAGGAAAACUGAGUUUCCAGUGAUUACAGCAGCUAAGGCGUUAAGAAUAUUAAGGAAACAAAAUCAGUGGAGACGAUUGUCGUUCCUAUGUGGGUAGUUUGCUUACUGAUUGCCGUUCUCUAGCUUCCAUGUUUACUUCAUGUGUUUUCAGUUUUCGUUUCUUUAUGCAUUGUUAUAUAUUUAUAUGUAUAUUUUAAUAAUGUGAUUGGUUUGAUUUGAAUUAGUUGAUUUCUUGAA